This 250-nucleotide ribosomal RNA is filed under the name uncultured bacterium. RNAcentral's name for it is "partial 16S ribosomal RNA". It matches the Rfam family "Bacterial small subunit ribosomal RNA", at positions 524 to 773 of the family's 1533-position model. The record is from RNAcentral.
UACGAAGGGGGCUAGCGUUGUUCGGAAUUACUGGGCGUAAAGCGCACGUAGGCGGACUAUUAAGUCAGGGGUGAAAUCCCGGGGCUCAACCCCGGAACUGCCUCUGAUACUGGUAGUCUAGAGUCCGAGAGAGGUGAGUGGAAUUCCGAGUGUAGAGGUGAAAUUCGUAGAUAUUCGGAGGAACACCAGUGGCGAAGGCGGCUCACUGGCUCGGUACUGACGCUGAGGUGCGAAAGCGUGGGGAGCAAAC